GAUGACUUCAGUGCCUUUCUUAACUAAUCCUGUCACUGUAAAAUCCUACAGUCAUUCUUCCACACAUAAAGGGAAAACGGACUCACUAGGAGGACCUAGACUCUUUCAGCUUGAACUGUUAACCAAUGGUGGAAAUGCAAGAAUGCUGAAGUUGUGCCUUCAGAGCCAAUAGAGUGGAUUUGUGUGUCCCACAUGACUGUGUUUCCUCUGUCUUUCACAUGGGCAGUAUUUAGUUCAAUUCAGAACUGCAGAUAGUAUAGCGUGCAGAGCAGCAAUGGGAUGUCUGAGCACAAGUGGCUGACUUCCAGGCGACUUCAGGAAGCACAUUUGUACAUUUCUCCUGAAUUUAACUGGGAUUCUGCACCCUUGACACUCUCCGACCUUCCUUGUCUCUGCAGAAGGAGACAGCGACCUGCACAGCACAACAAAACUACAAAUCACCACAGAGCUGCAGACCAGCAAUGAAGGGAACUGGGCAAUUUGACCAACAUCCUCUGUGUCGGUUCCCCAGAAGUCGAUGAAACAUGUUAUCGGGUCUCCAAGUUUGCAUUUUACAGACCACAAACCUCAGAGGAUCAUUGUGUGGAAGAAACACACUGGGCCAACUCAUCCCAUCCAUCUGACACAAAGCACAGCCCAUUUUGGUGUUCUUUCCAUUCUGAAGGAGUCUCAUAUCAGCACAACACCCAUAUCUUCAAUUUAGGUCAGGCCAUGAAGAGGAAGAAGAGGACUGAAGACUGAGGAUGAGAUGCUCUACUUCACACAGUUGCCCUCUGGAAGGACUUGCAAAGGCAGUCACUUAAAUUAAGUACAGGUCAUCAGACAAGAUAUCUAAUCUAUUCCUAAAACAGGCAGCUCUAGCAGUCCAAAUCCCUAUGGCCUUUGCAGCCACAUGAUGAACUAUUUCCUCAUGUACCUCUGUCAAUUCACGUUAGGUUCCAAUUUUUUUAAAGCGAUAUUUCAUGUACACCACGACCCUAUUGCUCAUAGCAAGGAAAGUGCUUUGGUUUAUUUAUGACCUACUAACCUUAAAUAAAAAAAAAAAAACUACAUCCAAUAUGAAUGUUCACAUAAGCUUGCAGAUCUGAAAAAAAAAUUUAAAAUAAACCUGGCAUUUGUAACAGCCAGCUAAGCCUGGUAAGGGAUUUUAAAAAAAUGAAAACCAGAUGAGAGAUGAUGACAGCAUAUUUACCCUGCAUAACCUGCACACAUCAGGAAUUAGGGCUGGAACCGAGGAAUACUUUUUGUACCUAGCUUCAGCCCAUUUCACAAGUUUCAGCCCAUUUCAGAGGCUAGAUAACUAAGGAAAUCCUGAGGUUUUUCCAGUAUAUGGGGUGGGAGGCAUUAAUAAUAACCUGUGAAAGUAAUUCCUUCUAAGAUGCAAUCCACCCAGCCACAAGCUCUAUGCAGCUUCUCUUCUUCCCCUACCCUGCAUCCCGAUUGCCAGAUAGCAGCCAGGCAGGACCCCAUAUUGAAAUAUGAAGUGACAGAUGGAAGCAGGGAAUAAGAGCAUAAGAAUAAGUACUGAAAGAAAUGACGUAAAAAAGCAAGCUCAUAAUAGGGUGGAUCUAAAACAUAAGCAACCCUAAACCAUAAAGUCAGUUCAUUUGGCUAGAACAAAGUUGAACAGAUGCAGAUGCACAAAAGACUGAGUUGGAGAGCCUUAUUCUCUCAUCACUCAUGCUGGUGUACAGAAGUCUUCUCAUAAUAUCCAUGGAAUUAAACCUUUGAAAAACCACUACAAAGAAAUGGAAAAAUAAAAAUAAACUUCAAAGCCAAACUAUUGGCAGCAAAUAUCCCAUACAGUUGUAUCAGGAAAGAAAGAUGUACUGCCACAUUUGAUUAGAAUUCAGAUAUAUUCCUAACCACAGUGGCCUUCCUAAAUGAAAUACAUCUAAACUACAUAAAAAAGAAAAUUAAUGGAUUCCAUUCUUGUCUAGUUCUCCAAUAGACUAUAUUAAUGACUUUGUCUUUCAGUAAUAUUAGAAAAAAAUAAUGUUGAGUUAAAUGAUGUAAUAAAUACCUCUACAUGCAGAGCAAUUAGUUGAAAGAAACAGUCAGAACAAAGUCCUUGUCAUGGUGUUUGUUUACAAAAUAGACACAGGUACCAUACCUAUGAGCUCCAGUCUUUUGGUGCGGGUUCCUUUUACAAAGUAGAAACAAACCCCCCAACAUUCAUAAAGACUUACAAAUAAUCAGAGAUUGAUGAGAGGGUAUAAAACAUCUUUUACCAAAAGAUAAGUAAACAAACAGCAAUUCAAAGAAGUCAAUGAAUCAGUCACACAAUUUCAGCACAGCAAGAGCAGACCUGCAAAAAAAGAAUUCUGACCAGCUGAGCAUCGAGAACACCUUCUGCAGAAGAACUCUGCUCCCAAAUGCAAAUAAGAAAGAAGUUUGGGAAACUGCCAGUUCCUUGCACAAAGACUGAAUUACGAGGGGCAGAGAAGGGUGUUGACAUUUGAGGAUGCGGUCAAGUCAAUGGAGUUCUGUUGUAGUGGUUGCUUCAGUGAACAUUCAACGCUGUCGGUGAGUUUGGAAUUAAAGUGAAAACCAUCGACCGUUGAUUGUACCCUCCAGCUAACCAUCCUCCUCCUUACUUCAUGCUUUCAGGCCUUAACACCGAAGAUAGCAACCUAACCAUCAUAUGAUGUUUCUCCCCCACCCUGCCAAGCUUUACAAAAAAGGUCACAAUCAACAUUCAUUGCUGUCGGUGGGUUUAACUUUGUGGACAAGCUCACUGAACAAUGAAUGCAACUGUGGCCCCACAUUUUACAGUUGCCGUUGAGAGGAACAGCAGCUCUGAAAGCAGUAGUGAGAAACAAACUUCUUAUAAGCUACAUUUUUCUGGUCAGAAAAACAGUUGGGAGUAUUCACUUUUUGCUUGCUUGUUUUUAAGUGUGUUUAACUUAGCUGACUAGAAAAAAAAAAACCCACUGCCUUUUUCUGGAAUAUUGUCCUUACAGGGUUGAGUAUCACUGAAACCAUAAAAACUCUUAUUGAGUAUGCGUGCAGAAAUAAAUAACUGUACAGGAAACUCUGUAUAUCCACUCCUAAGGACUCUGACAUAGAAGGAAAGAAUAUUUAAAUGCCAUUUUAACUAGGCAUUGUGGAAUACUUAAAAAGUUUUUUCUAUACUUGUCAUGACAAAUACAAAUGGGAGCAAAUGAGAUUUCAAAGUUAUGGAUCAAAUGUUUUAUCAAAUAAAUUAAUUAAUUUUACAUGAAAUUGUUUCUGAGCACAUAAAUAUUAUUAGACAACCCUUACUAUUGCAUCUGGCUUUUUUAGGCAUCUGAACGAUGACAGAGAAAUGUAUAUCCAGAAAUAAAAAUGUAAAAGUAGUUAAAUUGUAAAAUUACUGUAAACUGAGUACCUAUGUCACACUCUCAGUAUUGCAGAUACUAAUAAGAAAAUAAAAGUGUAAAUAAACUCA
Pseudopipra pipra is the source of this 3430-nucleotide long non-coding RNA. RefSeq lists it as uncharacterized. NCBI's taxonomy places the organism in Eukaryota, Metazoa, Chordata, Aves, Passeriformes, Pipridae. The record is from RefSeq and is a predicted model, not a curated record. The transcript is spliced from 6 exons.